RNAcentral lists this ribosomal RNA (573 nucleotides) under Debaryomyces hansenii. Its description in RNAcentral is "eukaryotic LSU rRNA". It matches the Rfam family "Eukaryotic large subunit ribosomal RNA", at positions 62 to 649 of the family's 3401-position model. Lineage: Eukaryota; Fungi; Ascomycota; Pichiomycetes; Serinales; Debaryomycetaceae. The record is from RNAcentral.
AAACCAACAGGGAUUGCCUUAGUAACGGCGAGUGAAGCGGCAAAAGCUCAAAUUUGAAAUCUGGCACCUUCGGUGUCCGAGUUGUAAUUUGAAGAAGGUAACUUUGGAGUUGGCUCUUGUCUAUGUUCCUUGGAACAGGACGUCACAGAGGGUGAGAAUCCCGUGCGAUGAGAUGCCCAAUUCUAUGUAAAGUGCUUUCGAAGAGUCGAGUUGUUUGGGAAUGCAGCUCUAAGUGGGUGGUAAAUUCCAUCUAAAGCUAAAUAUUGGCGAGAGACCGAUAGCGAACAAGUACAGUGAUUGGAAAGAUGAAAAGAACUUUGAAAAGAGAGUGAAAAAGUACGUGAAAUUGUUGAAAGGGAAGGGCUUGAGAUCAGACUUGGUAUUUUGCGAUCCUUUCCUUCUUGGUUGGGUUCCUCGCAGCUUACUGGGCCAGCAUCGGUUUGGAUGGUAGGAUAAUGACUAAGGAAUGUGGCUCUACUUCGGUGGAGUGUUAUAGCCUUGGUUGAUACUGCCUGUCUAGACCGAGGACUGCGUCUUUUGACUAGGAUGUUGGCAUAAUGAUCUUAAGCCACC